Molecule: ribosomal RNA, 502 nt
Filed under: uncultured soil bacterium
Lineage: Bacteria
Description: bacterial SSU rRNA
Rfam family: Bacterial small subunit ribosomal RNA
Source: RNAcentral
AGAAUCAACGCUGGCGGCGUGCCUCAGACAUGCAAGUCGAACGAUUAAACUUUCCUUCGGGAAAGAUAUAAAGUGGCGCACGGGUGAGUAACACGUAAGUAAUCUACCUUUGAGUGGGGAAUAACCCGGGGAAACCCGAGCUAAUACCGCAUAAUGCAGCGGCACCGCAAGGUGACAGUUGUUAAAGGAGCAAUCCGCUUAAAAGAGGAGCUUGCGGCAGAUUAGCUAGUUGGUAAGGUAAUGGCUUACCAAGGCUACGAUCUGUAACCGGUCUAAGAGGACGGUCGGUCACACUGACACUGAAUAACGGGUCAGACUCCUACGGGAGGCAGCAGUCGGGAAUUUGGGCAAUGGGCGAAAGCCUGACCCAGCAACGCCGCGUGAAGGAUAGAAGUAUUUCGGUAUGUAAACUUUACGAAAAGUAAUAGGGAAGAAUCAAAGUGAACCGGUACCAAGUUUAAUAAAGGUCCGGACUAAACGUACGUAGACCAGCAAGGCCCGC